Long non-coding RNA from Centruroides sculpturatus (bark scorpion), 1472 nucleotides. RefSeq lists it as uncharacterized. The transcript has 3 exons. The record is from RefSeq and is a predicted model, not a curated record. NCBI's taxonomy places the organism in Eukaryota, Metazoa, Arthropoda, Arachnida, Scorpiones, Buthidae.
UGCAUGAAGUGCAUCCGACCGUUAACUAAACAAAAUCCCUAAAAUAAACGAGACUAACAAUUUUAAGCAAAAAGAAGUCGGGUUCCCUUUCAGAGCGGAUGCAAGAUGGCCGGAUGGCCGAGCGAUCAAGGUGAUAGACUACAGUUCUGGAGGACACGGAAUCGAAUCCGGAUGGAUUGAAAAAAUCCCCUGGAAUUUUUCAGAAUAUAUUGAGGGGACGAGGGCCUCAAAAUAAAGAUUCGUAAUACACUUGCACCAAUUGAACUUCGUUGGACUUUAAUUUAUCUAGUGCUUCCAAGAAUGCGUUUCUAGUAUCGGCAUCUACCGUUUCCCAAUCUUCUCCCACGUACUUGUAAGGAACACAAAAGGGAACAAGAUCCAGGAGUUAGACCUAGGAGAUGAAAGAGAAAUGACUUCGAGAAACACGGUAGAGGCAGAAUGUUACCUAAACCAUAAAAUCCAGAAGAUGUCAUUCAUAAAAUUGCAUUUUAUCAACAGAUGUUUUUACCUCUUCAGCUAUAAAGUGAGUAAAAUUAAUCAGACAGCUUCAUGUAGGCUCUAUGCAUUUCUACUUUCAAAACUAUGUAAAAUUGUGAAAAUUUAAAAGGACUAAGUUUUAAAAUAAAAAAUUAUUAUAAAUUUUAUUAAUUAUUUUGCGUAUACAGACAAACCUCCAAACAAUGGUCAUUGUUCGAAGGUGGUCGUUGUUUGAAGGUUACUUUACGUUUUAAAAAGAAACGUCCUUUUAAAAUUGACCGCCGUUUAGAGGCGGGUUAUUGGAAGUUCGACUGCAUAGACUUUGAAAUUUAAACGAGUUAAUAUCUUGAAAUAUAUAAUUUAUUUUAUUAUACAAUAUUAAACAAGAGUAAAAUUCAAAAUUUAAAAAUAUUCUUCUCUUUCUUUUCAACUUUUUAAAUUCGAAUUUAUUGUUGUGUAUAAAAGUUACUUGUUUCAAAAUUCAAUACUUAAAGAUUAUUUUUAUGCAAUUAUUGUACGAAAUUUUAUAAAUUCAUGCAAUUUAUUGUAUAAUAAAUUGUUUUAGUAACAGCUGUGUUUAUUUCACAUGUUGCUAUGAAAUUCUUUAAAGCACAGCUGAAGAGAUUUAUUCGGUAAUUAAUAUUUUUCUUUCAGGCCUAUUGUCUUCAUUCUUCGAUUGAAAUUUAAAAUUUAUUUUAAUAACUUUCGCUUCGAGAAUUUAAUUUUUAAAAUAUAAAAUUAAUUAUAUAAUAUUAAAGUUUAUCGACAGAGAAAGCUGAAAUUCUUUGUUGUGUUCCGCGUGUUUGACUUGCUAAAUUUAAAAAUUAAUUAUUUUAAUUAAAAGUUGCUCGCUUUUAUGUUAAUUUAUAAAAGAAAGCGAUUUAAUAGAAAAUUUUAAUUUUAUUAACGAGCAAUAAAAACUACAUAUUUUCAUUAUAAAACUUUUUUCAUUAAUGAUAAUUUAUUAUAAGGUUAUUAAACGGAAGCAAUUUAAG